UACGUAGGUGGCAAGCGUUGUCCGGAUUUACUGGGCGUAAAGCGCGCGCAGGCGGACUGAUCAGUCUGGGGUGAAAUCUCCCGGCUCAACUGGGAGCGGUCCCUGGAUACUGUCAGUCUUGAGAGACCUAGAGGAGAGCGGAAUUCCCGGUGUAGUGGUGGAAUGCGUAGAUAUCGGGAAGAACACCAGUGGCGAAAGCGGCUCUCUGGGGGUUUUCUGACGCUGAGGCACGAAAGCGUGGGGAGCGAACCGG
RNAcentral lists this ribosomal RNA (253 nucleotides) under uncultured bacterium. RNAcentral's name for it is "partial 16S ribosomal RNA". It matches the Rfam family "Bacterial small subunit ribosomal RNA", at positions 524 to 776 of the family's 1533-position model. The record is from RNAcentral.